GGUGUGAUGUUACAACAUAUUUGCUACUUCAGAGGGUAUCACCCAAUGAGACUACACAAAUCACCAAGAUCUCUGACC
Molecule: small nucleolar RNA, 78 nt
Filed under: Laetiporus sulphureus 93-53
Lineage: Eukaryota; Fungi; Basidiomycota; Agaricomycetes; Polyporales; Laetiporaceae
Description: Small nucleolar RNA SNORD24
Rfam family: Small nucleolar RNA SNORD24
About the family: U24 is a member of the C/D class of snoRNA which contain the C (UGAUGA) and D (CUGA) box motifs. C/D box snoRNAs have been shown to act as methylation guides for a number of RNA targets. U24 is encoded within an intron of the gene for ribosomal protein L7a in mammals, chicken and Fugu.
Source: Rfam by way of RNAcentral